CCAUGUCAGCUGACCUUAGAGGCUAGAACAGCCUUAAAAAGGGUUGAAAAUGCAAUUAAAAAUGCACAAAUUACUAGAGUUUAUCCUAAGGGAAUAGUGUAUUUAUUAAUAUUUCCAACUGAGCAUACCCCAACAGGAGCCAUAUGGCAAAGAUUAGGAGUUAUUGAGUGAAUUUAUUUAUCCCACUCCCCUCAAAAAACAUUAAUUCCUUUUCAUUACUCUAUUGCUCAAUUAGUAAUUAAAGGUAGAACUAGGAUUUUACAAUUAAUGAGAUCUGAGCCUGAUAUCAUAAUUAUUCCAUUUUCUGUUCAACAGACUAAUUGGCUUUUUCAAAAUUCUAGCUUAUGGCAGAUAGCUUUUGCUGAUUUUCCUGGCCAGAUAGAUAGCCAUUACCCUCGUGAUAAGAUUAUCUAAUUUGCAUCAUUAACAUCACUUAUUUUUCCAAAGAUUGUGCAUGCACGUCCUAUAGAUGAAGCCUUAUUGGUGUCCACUGAUGGUUCAAGCUCAGGUAAAGCAGGUUUUUAUAGUUGUGUUCACACAGAGGUAAUACAAACUUCAUAUACUUCUGCCCAAAGAGCAGAGCUUCAAGCUCUGAUUUGUGCCUUAAAUUACUUUUCAAAUGAGCCUAUUAAUAUUUAUUCUGACAGCUUAUAUGCAGUCAGAGUUAUCAAAAAUAUCGAAACUUCAGUUAUUGGGUAUACUUCAUCACAAGAGUUAUUUGAAUUAUUUCAUAAUCUACAGAAGGCAGUGCUAAUGUGAAAAUACCCAUGUUUCAUAGGACACAUAUGGGCUCAUACUAAUCUUCCAGGAUCUUUAGUUUCAGGUAAUGACAAAAUUGAUAAAUUAGUAGGUUUUUGUCAACAGAUGUCUUCAUAUUACUGUGCACAAGCUUCCCAUUCCUUGCAUCAUAAAAAUGCUUCUAGCUUACGUAAAAACUCUAAUAUUACCAGAGAACAAGCUGGUCAAAUUGUAAGCCAAUGCCCUAAGUGUGUUAUUCACACUCCAUCUCCACCAUCAGGGGUAAAUCCCCGUGGAUUAAAACCAAAUCAAAUAUGGCAAAUGGAUGUAACUCAUAUUCCUCAAUUUGGUAAGCAAUGUUAUGUACAUGUCAUAGUGGACACAUAUUCCAGAUUUAUUUUUGCCACAGCAUGUACUAAGGAAAAUACUCAACAUGUAAUUUCUCAUUGCCUAGCAGCUUUUCCUGUGUUAGGGUGCCCUGUGCAGAUUAAAACAGAUAAUGCAUCAGCUUAUGUAAGCUCUUCUUUUCAACAAUUUUGCCAAGAGUUUCAAAUUAAUCAUAAAACAGGAAUUCCUUAUAACCCCCAAGGUCAAGCCAUUGUGGAAUGAGCUCAUUUAUCUAUUAAGCUUCAAUUACAAAAAUUAAAAGGGGGGAAUAGGGUUAUGACUCCCCAAAAUAGCUUCAAUCAUGCCUUGUUCAUUUUAAAUUUUUUAAAUUUUGACGUAGAAGUUCAUACUGCCACUGAGAGGCAAAUGUCUCCCUCAGUAACAGGCCCUUUAGGCAGAGUUUUGUGGAAAGAUUUACAGACUGGUCAAUGGAAAGGCCCAGACCCAGUGAUUAUGUGGGGCAGAGGUCAUGCUUGUAUUUUCCCAGAAGGUGCUUUUCAUCCUAUCUGGGUGCCUGAACACACAAUCAGACAUGGAAGAGAUAGAACCGAGAUUCAAGCAACUGAAGAUCGACCCGGAGAAGCCCCCAUCCAAAAGGAAGAGAUAUCGGAAAAAGACGAAGAGAAACCAGGUUGACCCAGCCAAAAAGCUGAUUUCAUGGGAAUACGUGAAGAAGCUAACAACACAGGCUUCCCGAAUAAUUCGACUCCUAGGAAAGAACAGGACCCCAGUCUUGAUGGUAGUCAGGUAAAGGGGAAUCAGAUAGACACUUACUGGACAUAUUUCCCAGAUCCACCCCUGGUACACCCAGCUGUGUGGACUGGAGAAUCUAUUCCAGUAUUUACUAAUGACUCAUUCAUGAUGGGAGGAUUUACAGAUACUAAUAUUACUCCCAAUCAUGUGACUAGAUUUAAUUAUUCUGGCUAUAGUGCCCAAUUACAUUUGUGUUGGUCCCACGAUAAACAUGCUGGCUGUCUGAAAGUAUCAUUCAAGGAAAAGACAGUGAUUGGUAGACCUAGACUGACAAAUUAUUCUAUUAUUGGAGACUUAAAACCUUAUACUAGAUCAGUAAUUAAGAUGGUACUUUCACAUAACAAGCCAGUAAUUUCUGCAAAACCUCCACGGAUACCCCACUGUCCAAAUAGUUCUACAAUUGAGAUUGGCACCUUUCCUAGAUGGAUGGAUUGUGUAAAUACCUUUCCUGUACAACAUAAGGUGUCUAAAGAUAGUGGGUAUAUUUUAGACUGGUCUCCAAAAAUUGAUGAGCAAUUACGAAAAAAUUCUUGCUAUGACACCUGCAGGAUUUGUUAGUAAUAUUUUGGCUUACAGUGAGGGUGGUAUUCAAAAGGAUGUUUGGUGCUUAAUUGCUGCCUCAGAAUUCUUACAUUUUACAGACAAGCCUUUACCAAAAUUUGUUGGCAAGAACUGUAAGGAAGGAUCUUGCUAUGGCUUACGAGCCUGUGUCCAAUCUCCUUAUGUUUUAAUUAUUGGAAAUGUAAAAGUGAAAUGGAUAGAUGACAGAUAUAUUGUUACAUGUAACAAAUGUAACCUAACCAAUUGUAUUACUAGGUAUAAUGGAGGAAAAGGACUGCUGAUACUUCAUUAACCCUCUUUUGUUUUACUACCUGCUAAUAUUUCAGAGCCAUGGUAUGCUGAUACUGGUUUACAAGUCUUGCAGCAAAUUCAUUCCCAGCUAGCAAGACCUAAACGUGCUAUUGGAAUUAUAAUUGUUGGUGUUUUGGCGUUAGUCUCUUUUAUUGAAUCCAUUGUUUCUGUGUCUCUGACAUUGUCUCAAAAUAUUCAGCAUGCAAAAUUUCUUAAUAAUUUAGCUCAAAAUAUUUCCAAGGCUCUGCGUAAUCAAGUAAAUAUUAAUGAA
RNAcentral lists this long non-coding RNA (3001 nucleotides) under Marmota monax (woodchuck). The record is from RNAcentral. Lineage: Eukaryota; Metazoa; Chordata; Mammalia; Rodentia; Sciuridae.